RNAcentral lists this ribosomal RNA (253 nucleotides) under uncultured bacterium. RNAcentral describes it as "partial 16S ribosomal RNA". It matches the Rfam family "Bacterial small subunit ribosomal RNA", at positions 524 to 776 of the family's 1533-position model. The record is from RNAcentral.
UACGGGGGGGGCAAGCGUUGUUCGGAUUCAUUGGGCGUAAAGGGUGCGUAGGCGGCGCGGUAAGUCGGGUGUGAAAUCUCGGAGCUUAACUCCGAAACUGCAUUCGAUACUGCCGUGCUUGAGGACUGGAGAGGAGACUGGAAUUCCUGGUGUAGCGGUGAAAUGCGCAGAUAUCAGGAAGAACACCAAUGGCGAAGGCAGCUCUCUGGGACGGUACUGACGCUGAGACGCGAAAGCGUGGGGAGCGAACAGG